RNAcentral lists this ribosomal RNA (380 nucleotides) under uncultured bacterium. Its description in RNAcentral is "bacterial SSU rRNA". It matches the Rfam family "Bacterial small subunit ribosomal RNA", at positions 93 to 469 of the family's 1533-position model. The record is from RNAcentral.
UAUUGGCGAACGGGUGAGUAAUACAUAAACAAUCUACCCAUACGACUGGGAUAACCGUUGGAAACGAUGGCUAAUACCGGAUAGGUGGAAAGAGGGCAUCUUCUUUUCAUUAAAGUUGGGCUACAACACGUGUGGAUGAGUUUAUGGCGCAUUAGCUAGUUGGCGGGGUAACGGCCCACCAAGGCGAUGAUGCGUAGCCGACCUGAGAGGGUGACCGGCCACGCUGGGACUGAGACACGGCCCAUACUCCUACGGGAGGCAGCAGUAAGGAAUUUUCGGCGAUGGGGGAAACCCUGACCGAGCGCCGCCGCGUGAGUGAUGAACGCCUUCUGGUUGUAAAGCUCUGUUGUAAGGGAAGAAUGGCAAUGAUAGGGAAUGAU